CAGAGAGCGAGGACCAGAGAGGAGAGAGGUCAGCUCGAUUCAGAGGACAGAAAGAAGAAAGGAAUAACCCGGAGUGGACGGGGACAGGAUGAGCGAGGACAGCCACUCCCACUACAGGCUGGACCCCAGCGAUCGCCUCAACGGGCUGGGACAGAGGAGGAAGAGACCCAAGAAGGAUAGUGGAGGUUACAUGGGUCAACCUGGCAAACUGUACCAGCACAUGUGAUCACACUGAUAGCAGAACACAGUUUGUCUGCAGUGAACCUUAAAUACUCACUGAACCAGCUGUUUCCUGAUGUGGUGACGUGUGUCGG
This is a long non-coding RNA of Astatotilapia calliptera (eastern happy), 314 nucleotides long. NCBI's taxonomy places the organism in Eukaryota, Metazoa, Chordata, Actinopteri, Cichliformes, Cichlidae. The record is from Ensembl.